UCUAAGUAUAACCUGCCAGACAGGGAAACUGCGUACGGCUCAUUACACCAGCCUUAAUUUACUUGACCUUGACAACCUACUUGGAUAACUGUGGUAAUUCUAGAGCUAAUACAUGCACCAAAGCUCCGAUCCUCGCGGAGAGGAGCGCAUUUGUUCGCCACAAAACCAAGCGCCCAUCUGGGCGUCCAGUGCUGAACCAGAACAACUCAGCUGAUCGCACGGUCUUGUACCGGCGACGUGUCUUUCAAGUGUCUGCCUUAUCAACUUUCGAUGGUAGUGUACCUGACUACCAUGGUUGUGACGGGUAACGGAGGAUAAGGGUUCGACUCCGGAGAAGGGGCCUGAGAAAUGGCCACUACGUCUAAGGAUGGCAGCAGGCGCGCAAAUUACCCACUCUCAACGCGAGGAGGUAGUGACGAGAAAUAACGAGACCGUUCUCAUACGAGGCCG
This 450-nucleotide ribosomal RNA is filed under the name unidentified nematode Sourhope farm. RNAcentral's name for it is "SSU rRNA". It matches the Rfam family "Eukaryotic small subunit ribosomal RNA", at positions 58 to 504 of the family's 1831-position model. Lineage: Eukaryota; Metazoa; Nematoda. The record is from RNAcentral.